RNAcentral lists this long non-coding RNA (1290 nucleotides) under Triticum aestivum (bread wheat). RNAcentral's name for it is "long non-coding RNA (TAES_LNC013235)". Lineage: Eukaryota; Viridiplantae; Streptophyta; Magnoliopsida; Poales; Poaceae. The record is from RNAcentral.
CCGGUUCGAGGUUGGACAUUGUAGGUAGGUAACCAGAUGGCUGAUGACAUGUUGUAACGCCGAAAUGGAUACUCUGUGCAUUUGAUAACUGGAACACUGCUGGUAAAGCUGAAAAGCUGAAUGGGUUGGACGAUAUCUCAGGCAUCUUGCUGCGAAGCUUUCUGCUGACUUGCUUAUGCUUUCUAUGCUGCUGUGGCGGCGAAGAUACAAAUAGUUAGGUCAAUGAAAGAUUGGUGUGCUCUUUUGUACGCUGUUGGGAACUAAGAUAUACUAGAAGACGAGUCCUUUGGCCUCUUCUCAACUGUAUCCAGAUAUAAACAUCGGAACUAGUUAUUACUAGAAGAACGUCCGUGCGUUGCAAUGGGGCCACAUUAACUUUAAGAGUUCAAUAUUAAUAUUCUCGUACAUAUAAGUGACAUUGGUGACCUUUUUUACCAUCAAAAUCCUCAUACACACUCUCUCCCUCCCUCUUCCUUCCUCUCCCUCCCUCUCUCUAACGCACACACAUAUCCAUCUUAUUGGGUAUGGGACCAUAAUUCAUUUAUUUCACACACCCGCUAGUGCAUAACAAUAUGAAUUAUGUGUAUUAUAUUUGCCAUCAUAAUUGAGGGAAUUAAUUUCAUGUAAAUCGGCCAGCCACAACUCCAAAAAUACGCGGAGGAGGUGGCCUGGGUCGGCUUCGACACUGUCCGGCGCGGGCCACGGGCUCGCUUCCAAGUGCGUCUGCGCGCCGGCCACCCACGCCAGGUCCUUCAAGUGCCGCUUCCACCACACCAACUCCCAGGGCCACGGCCACGGCCAGGGAAGCCGCCCUUCUUCGCCCGCUUCACCGGCCGCGGCACCCGGCCUCGCCGUCCUCGUCCUCCGGCACCGUCGCGACCCAGUGACGCAGCCCAAGCAUCGGCCUCGAGAAUCAAGAACGCUCGACAACGGAGAGGAAAGGGAAGAUCAUAUACAUGUAAUAAGAAAGGGAGUUUAUUUAUUGCUCCCUCAAUAUAUUGUUUCAUUUGUUUGGAGAUUGAUUACCAUCCGUGAGUUAAGGUAAGGUUAAUGUGAUUGAGCGAUUUUUCUGAAAAUCAAUUAUUUGUUUUCUAAUUAAUGUGAUCGAGUGAUUUAAGGUAAGGUUAAUUAAUUUAGAUUUGAUCUUUAGAGAUUGUUCGUGAUUGAUUCUACAUUACUAAAUAAAUUGCGCCAGUAUGAAAAGUUCUGAUCUGUUUAGAUGUCUUUCGUUGUGUGAGAGGGUGACGCGAAAAUAAACCGAUGAAGUGGGGGGAGGGGACGAAAAAAAAA